CAAAAUGGUGAGCGUCCGCAGGACAGAGUACCAGAGAAGAAGGAGCUGCCCGGAGACACAAGCCUGCAGGUAUACAGAAGGUCCCUCCAUGAAGCUUUUCAAAGGACUUGGGAGUGUACUUCUCAGUCCCUGGCCUGUAUCACUGGAAGAUGCUGUUCUUAUGGAAUCAUUCCCAUGAACUGAC
This is a long non-coding RNA of Suricata suricatta (meerkat), 184 nucleotides long. RefSeq lists it as uncharacterized. The record is from RefSeq and is a predicted model, not a curated record. The transcript has 3 exons. NCBI's taxonomy places the organism in Eukaryota, Metazoa, Chordata, Mammalia, Carnivora, Herpestidae.